Molecule: small RNA, 1043 nt
Filed under: uncultured Pelagibacterales bacterium
Lineage: Bacteria; Pseudomonadati; Pseudomonadota; Alphaproteobacteria; Candidatus Pelagibacterales
Description: bacterial SSU rRNA
Rfam family: Bacterial small subunit ribosomal RNA (bases 1-658)
Source: RNAcentral
CACCGCCUGGGGAGUACGACCGCAAGGUUAAAACUCAAAUGAAUUGACGGGGACCCGCACAAGUAGUGGAGCAUGUGGUUUAAUUCGAAGAUACGCGCAGAACCUUACCAACACUUGACAUGUUCGUCGCGACUUUAAGAGAUUAAAGUUUUCGGUUCGGCCGGACGAAACACAGGUGCUGCAUGGCUGUCGUCAGCUCGUGUCGUGAGAUGUUGGGUUAAGUCCCGCAACGAGCGCAACCCUCACUUUUAGUUGCCAUCAUUAAGUUGGGCACUCUGAAAGAACUGCCAGUGAUAAGCUGGAGGAAGGUGGGGAUGACGUCAAGUCCUCAUGGCCCUUACGUGUUGGGCUACACACGUGCUACAAUGGUAUCUACAACAGGAAGCAAGACGGCGACGUCAAGCAAAUCCUUAAAAGAUACCUCAGUUCGGAUUGCACUCUGCAACUCGAGUGCAUGAAGCUGGAAUUACUAGUAAUCGUGGAUCAGCGUGCCACGGUGAAUGCGUUCCCGGGUCUUGUACACACCGCCCGUCACACCAUGGGAGUUGGUUCUACCUUAAGGCAAGGUUUAAAACCCUUGACCACGGUAUAGUCAGCGACUGGGGUGAAGUCGUAACAAGGUAGCCGUAGGGGAACCUGCGGCUGGAUUACCUCCUUUCUAAGGAUGAAUGAAAUUUUUUUCAUUCUAAAUAAUAUACAUAGGCAAUGUUGACCGUCCUCAUUUCUCUUCUUAAUUAGUGUUUCUCUUGCAUGGGGGCCGGUAGCUCAGUUGGUUAGAGCACACCCUUGAUAAGGGUGGGGUCGAAAGUUCGAGUCUUUCUCGGCCCACCAAUUUAAGAUUAAGGGGGAUUAGCUCAGCUGGGAGAGCGCCUGAUUUGCAUUCAGGAGGUCAGCGGUUCGAUCCCGCUAUCCUCCACCAAAACACUUAGUUAUAAAAAUCGUGAAUAAAAAAUUAAUAAUAUCAAUAUCUAUAUCCGAACAUUAGUAAUGUUAUUAGCUAAUGUUCAAAAUAAAAAUUUGAUUCAACACAGAAUUUUUUUCUG